This is a long non-coding RNA of Sardina pilchardus (European sardine), 704 nucleotides long. RefSeq lists it as uncharacterized. The transcript has 7 exons. The record is from RefSeq and is a predicted model, not a curated record. Lineage: Eukaryota; Metazoa; Chordata; Actinopteri; Clupeiformes; Clupeidae.
GCCAAAUGAGUCUAGCCGCCAUUCUAAUUACAAACAAAAAACAGCCUGUCAACUUGUAGUCUACAGUAAAAGUCAGUUACUUAUCCCAUGUUGGUAACUUCACACUGGCCUACCCACACAGUUAACUGCCAAUCAUGUUCCUGUGAACUUUUGUGCUGAAGUUGGCCUGACGACGAAAGAGGGAUUUCUGUUCCACCCUGGGUCCACUGAGCAGUUUGCCGCUUAGACUAACUACAUGAGAUGAUUACUGAGACCCUUCAUCAAACUCCCCGAGGCCCUCCUGUCCACAAGCACAGAGCUGCAGGAAAUGACCAAUUCUCACAGCUCAAUGGGAGGGCGUGUGGGUAAGUAAGCCAAACAAGCAUGGUGCCUCCAAGGAAAAUCCAUUUGUGUUCAACAACGCUGAAGGCGGGCCACUUGAAGGACACUAAUUGCAUGCGAGACCAAUGCUGAUAUGAUUCAAAGGGAGGCCUUGCGUAUCAGAGCAUCGGAAAGGGGGGAAAAAAACAGAAGGGUGGAGGCACGAGAAGGCCCGGAAGCAAAGAUCACAAAAACAUGUGCUCUGGGUCAGGUUGCUGCUGAUGUCUAGGGCUUGCUGGUAUACCUGAGUCAUGUCGUCCAGGUCACCCAGCAGGGAGAAGCUACUGUUGUCCCCCGGGGAGCCCUGGGGGCUGCGGCCGAACUUGGCCCCGGGGAGAGGCGGC